Molecule: ribosomal RNA, 468 nt
Filed under: uncultured bacterium
Lineage: Bacteria
Description: partial 16S ribosomal RNA
Rfam family: Bacterial small subunit ribosomal RNA
Source: RNAcentral
GACGAACGCUGGCGGCGUGCUUAACACAUGCAAGUCGAACGGUGAUGCUCCAGCUUGCUGGAGUGGAUCAGUGGCGAACGGGUGAGUAACACGUGAGCAACCUGCCCCAGACUCUGGAAUAAGCGCUGGAAACGGCGUCUAAUACUGGAUACGAAACUGGCCCGCAUGGGCAUGGUUUGGAAAGUUUUUCGGUUUGGGAUGGGCUCGCGGCCUAUCAGCUUGUUGGUGAGGUAAUGGCUCACCAAGGCGACGACGGGUAGCCGGCCUGAGAGGGCGACCGGCCACACUGGGACUGAGACACGGCCCAGACUCCUACGGGAGGCAGCAGUGGGGAAUAUUGCACAAUGGGCGAAAGCCUGAUGGAGCGACGCCGCGUGAGGGAUGACGGCCUUCGGGUUGUAACCCUCUUUCGGCAGGGAAGAAGCGAAAGUGACGGUACCUGCAGAAGAAGCACCGGCUAACUACGUG